This 231-nucleotide long non-coding RNA is filed under the name Haliotis rubra (blacklip abalone). Its description in RNAcentral is "uncharacterized LOC124264402, transcript variant X1". The record is from RNAcentral. Lineage: Eukaryota; Metazoa; Mollusca; Gastropoda; Lepetellida; Haliotidae.
ACAGUACUCAACAGUAUGGGUGUUGACAACACCGGAAUAUCCUGUCAAAGGAUGAGGCUAAAAUUAGAUUUCACUUCCUGGUUGGUCGGACUGCCUUCAAUCGAAAGGAGUACAUGACAUACGUUAUGAAUGACACUCGAUGAUGGAAAUGGUGAUUCUAAUUGGAGGAACUUUGUUGGUGACACUGUUGUCUCAUGUUGGAGGUCAGACAGUGUCACUACAAGGAUCUUC